AGAGUUUGAUCAUGGCUCAGGAUGAACGCUAGCGGCAGGCUUAAUACAUGCAAGUCGAGGGGCAGCAGGUUUGUAGCAAUACAAAUGCUGGCGACCGGCAAACGGGUGCGGAACACGUACACAACCUUCCUUUAAGUGGGGAAUAGCCCAGAGAAAUUUGGAUUAAUACCCCGUAACAUUAUGAUGUGGCAUCACAUUAUAAUUAUAGCUCCGGCGCUUAAUGAUGGGUGUGCGGCUGAUUAGGUAGUUGGCGGGGUAACGGCCCACCAAGCCUUCGAUCAGUAACUGGUGUGAGAGCACGACCAGUCACACGGGCACUGAGACACGGGCCCGACUCCUACGGGAGGCAGCAGUAAGGAAUAUUGGGCAAUGGAGGCAACUCUGACCCAGCCAUGCCGCGUGGAAGAUGAAGGUCCUCUGGAUUGUAAACUUCUUUUAUAUGGGACGAAAAAGGGCCUUUCCAGGUCAACUGACGGUACCAUAUGAAUAAGA
RNAcentral lists this ribosomal RNA (492 nucleotides) under uncultured Terrimonas sp. RNAcentral's name for it is "bacterial SSU rRNA". It matches the Rfam family "Bacterial small subunit ribosomal RNA", at positions 8 to 491 of the family's 1533-position model. The record is from RNAcentral. Lineage: Bacteria; Pseudomonadati; Bacteroidota; Chitinophagia; Chitinophagales; Chitinophagaceae.